Molecule: long non-coding RNA, 278 nt
Filed under: Elaeis guineensis (African oil palm)
Lineage: Eukaryota; Viridiplantae; Streptophyta; Magnoliopsida; Arecales; Arecaceae
Description: long non-coding RNA (EGUI_LNC063555)
Source: RNAcentral
CCUACCUCCAGUAAAUCCUAAGAUCACGUUGAUGACUCUAGCCAUAGGUCAGUUGUUGUUGUUGUUUUCCUCCUACAGCUGGCAUUGGGAAGGCUAUUCGACCACUCAAUUCUCUCAGUCACAGACAUACUUCUUGAGGUAUCCUCUUUGAAUUAGAGCCUUGAUUUCAUUCUAUAGCUGAAGGCAAUCCUUAGUGCCAUGGCUAUGGUUCUAAUGGAAUCAGUAGUACUUCCUUUUGCUACACCUUAUUACUUUAGCCUUUAUUGGUUCAGGCCAAC